AGCUCCAAUAGCGUAUAUAAAAGUUGUUGCGGUUAAAAAGCUCGUAGUUGGAUCUCGGCAGGUAGGGGGCGGAUCUAUCCUGUAGACUCUGCCCCAUUUACCUGUGUUUUUGACGGAGGUGGCAGAGUGCUCUUAAACGGGUGUUCUGAAACACCGUCAGGUUUACUUUGAAAAAAUUAGAGUGCUCAAAGCAGGCUAUCAUGCUUGAAUAUUUGUGCAUGGAAUAAUGGAAUAGGAAGUCGUUUCUAUUUUGUUGGUUUUCGGAAAUUGACUUAAUGAUUAAUAGGGACAGCCGGGGGUAUUAGUAUUCAGACGACAGAGGUGAAAUUCUUGGACCGUCUGAAGACUAACUACUGCGAAAGCAUUUGCCAAGAGUGUUUUCA
RNAcentral lists this ribosomal RNA (383 nucleotides) under marine copepod environmental sample. RNAcentral's name for it is "SSU rRNA". It matches the Rfam family "Eukaryotic small subunit ribosomal RNA", at positions 587 to 972 of the family's 1831-position model. Lineage: Eukaryota; Metazoa; Arthropoda; Copepoda. The record is from RNAcentral.